UACGUAGGGGGCUAGCGUUAUCCGGAAUUACUGGGCGUAAAGGGUGCGUAGGUGGUUUCUUAAGUCAGAGGUGAAAGGCUACGGCUCAACCGUAGUAAGCCUUUGAAACUGGGAAACUUGAGUGCAGGAGAGGAGAGUGGAAUUCCUAGUGUAGCGGUGAAAUGCGUAGAUAUUAGGAGGAACACCAGUUGCGAAGGCGGCUCUCUGGACUGUAACUGACACUGAGGCACGAAAGCGUGGGGAGCAAACAGGAUUAGAUACCCGGGUAGUCCCUGAG
RNAcentral lists this ribosomal RNA (277 nucleotides) under uncultured prokaryote. RNAcentral's name for it is "partial 16S ribosomal RNA". It matches the Rfam family "Bacterial small subunit ribosomal RNA", at positions 524 to 801 of the family's 1533-position model. The record is from RNAcentral.